AAGAUGCUAGUAAAAUGGCUAUUACAUUGCCUUGUCAAGGCAAAAUUGUGGGUUAAACCCCCUGCGUAUCUUG
Molecule: transfer RNA, 73 nt
Filed under: Etheostoma caeruleum (rainbow darter)
Lineage: Eukaryota; Metazoa; Chordata; Actinopteri; Perciformes; Percidae
Description: tRNA-Asp
Rfam family: tRNA
About the family: Transfer RNA (tRNA) molecules are approximately 80 nucleotides in length. Their secondary structure includes four short double-helical elements and three loops (D, anti-codon, and T loops). Further hydrogen bonds mediate the characteristic L-shaped molecular structure. tRNAs have two regions of fundamental functional importance: the anti-codon, which is responsible for specific mRNA codon recognition, and the 3' end, to which the tRNAs corresponding amino acid is attached (by aminoacyl-tRNA synthetases). tRNAs cope with the degeneracy of the genetic code in two manners: having more than one tRNA (with a specific anti-codon) for a particular amino acid; and 'wobble' base-pairing, i.e. permitting non-standard base-pairing at the 3rd anti-codon position.
Source: RNAcentral